RNAcentral lists this transfer RNA (56 nucleotides) under Ailuropoda melanoleuca (giant panda). It matches the Rfam family "tRNA", at positions 10 to 63 of the family's 71-position model. From Rfam's summary of the family: Transfer RNA (tRNA) molecules are approximately 80 nucleotides in length. Their secondary structure includes four short double-helical elements and three loops (D, anti-codon, and T loops). Further hydrogen bonds mediate the characteristic L-shaped molecular structure. tRNAs have two regions of fundamental functional importance: the anti-codon, which is responsible for specific mRNA codon recognition, and the 3' end, to which the tRNAs corresponding amino acid is attached (by aminoacyl-tRNA synthetases). tRNAs cope with the degeneracy of the genetic code in two manners: having more than one tRNA (with a specific anti-codon) for a particular amino acid; and 'wobble' base-pairing, i.e. permitting non-standard base-pairing at the 3rd anti-codon position. Lineage: Eukaryota; Metazoa; Chordata; Mammalia; Carnivora; Ursidae. The record is from Rfam by way of RNAcentral.
GCUCAGUUGGUAGAGUGUGAGACUCUUGAUCUUGGGGUUGUGGGUUCGAAUCCCAU